This 960-nucleotide ribosomal RNA is filed under the name Rhytidhysteron subrufulum. RNAcentral describes it as "SSU rRNA". It matches the Rfam family "Eukaryotic small subunit ribosomal RNA", at positions 95 to 1063 of the family's 1831-position model. The record is from RNAcentral. Lineage: Eukaryota; Fungi; Ascomycota; Dothideomycetes; Hysteriales; Hysteriaceae.
GGCUCAUUAAAUCAGUUAUCGUUUAUUUGAUAGUACCUUACUACUUGGAUAACCGUGGUAAUUCUAGAGCUAAUACAUGCUAAAAACCCCGACUUCGGGAGGGGUGUAUUUAUUAGAUAAAAAACCAACGCCCUUCGGGGCUCCUUGGUGAAUCAUAAUAACUUAACGGAUCGCAUGGCCUUGCGCCGGCGACGGUUCAUUCAAAUUUCUGCCCUAUCAACUUUCGAUUGUAGGGUAUUGGCCUACAAUGGUAUCAACGGGUAACGGGGAAUUAGGGUUCGAUUCCGGAGAGGGAGCCUGAGAAACGGCUACCACAUCCAAGGAAGGCAGCAGGCGCGCAAAUUACCCAAUCCCGACACGGGGAGGUAGUGACAAUAAAUACUGAUACAGGGCUCUUUUGGGUCUUGUAAUUGGAAUGAGUACAAUUUAAAUCCCUUAACGAGGAACAAUUGGAGGGCAAGUCUGGUGCCAGCAGCCGCGGUAAUUCCAGCUCCAAUAGCGUAUAUUAAAGUUGUUGCAGUUAAAAAGCUCGUAGUUGAACCUUGGGCCUGGCUGGCCGGUCCGCCUCACCGCGUGCACUGGUCCGGCCGGGCCUUUCCUUCUGGAGAGCCGCAUGCCCUUCACUGGGCGUGUCGGGGAACCAGGACUUUUACUUUGAAAAAAUUAGAGUGUUCAAAGCAGGCCUUUGCUCGAAUACAUUAGCAUGGAAUAAUAGAAUAGGACGUGCGGUCCUAUUUUGUUGGUUUCUAGGACCGCCGUAAUGAUUAAUAGGGAUAGUCGGGGGCAUCAGUAUUCAAUUGUCAGAGGUGAAAUUCUUGGAUUUAUUGAAGACUAACUACUGCGAAAGCAUUUGCCAAGGAUGUUUUCAUUAAUCAGUGAACGAAAGUUAGGGGAUCGAAGACGAUCAGAUACCGUCGUAGUCUUAACCGUAAACUAUGCCGACUAGGGAUCGGGCGAUGU